GCGUAAGCCCACGCCGGUCGAAGAUACCAGGCCGCUGCGACUGUUUAUUAAAAACACAGCACUCUGCAAACACGAAAGUGGACGUAUAGGGUGUGACGCCUGCCCGGUGCCGGAAGGUUAAUUGAUGGGGUUAGCUAACGCGAAGCUCUUGAUCGAAGCCCCGGUAAACGGCGGCCGUAACUAUAACGGUCCUAAGGUAGCGAAAUUCCUUGUCGGGUAAGUUCCGACCUGCACGAAUGGCGUAACGAUGGCGGCGCUGUCUCCACCCGAGACUCAGUGAAAUUGAAAUCGCUGUGAAGAUGCAGUGUAUCCGCGGCUAGACGGAAAGACCCCGUGAACCUUUACUAUAGCUUUGCACUGGACUUUGAAUUUGCUUGUGUAGGAUAGGUGGGAGGCUUUGAAGCGUGGACGCCAGUUCGCGUGGAGCCAUCCUUGAAAUACCACCCUGGCAACUUUGAGGUUCUAACUCAGGUCCGUUAUCCGGAUCGAGGACAGUGUAUGGUGGGUAGUUUGACUGGGGCGGUCUCCUCCUAAAGAGUAACGGAGGAGUACGAAGGUGCGCUCAGACCGGUCGGAAAUCGGUCGUAGAGUAUAAAGGCAAAAGCGCGCUUGACUGCGAGACAGACACGUCGAGCAGGUACGAAAGUAGGUCUUAGUGAUCCGGUGGUUCUGUAUGGAAGGGCCAUCGCUCAACGGAUAAAAGGUACUCCGGGGAUAACAGGCUGAUACCGCCCAAGAGUUCAUAUCGACGGCGGUGUUUGGCACCUCGAUGUCGGCUCAUCACAUCCUGGGGCUGAAGCCGGUCCCAAGGGUAUGGCUGUUCGCCAUUUAAAGUGGUACGCGAGCUGGGUUUAGAACGUCGUGAGACAGUUCGGUCCCUAUCUGCCGUGGACGUUUGAGAUUUGAGAGGGGCUGCUCCUAGUACGAGAGGACCGGAGUGGACGAACCUCUGGUGUUCCGGUUGUCACGCCAGUGGCAUUGCCGGGUAGCUAUGUUCGGAA
RNAcentral lists this ribosomal RNA (1001 nucleotides) under Pseudomonas sp. URMO17WK12:I6. RNAcentral describes it as "bacterial LSU rRNA". It matches the Rfam family "Bacterial large subunit ribosomal RNA", at positions 1760 to 2760 of the family's 2925-position model. Lineage: Bacteria; Pseudomonadati; Pseudomonadota; Gammaproteobacteria; Pseudomonadales; Pseudomonadaceae. The record is from RNAcentral.